UUGGAGGGCAAGUCUGGUGCCAGCAGCCGCGGUAAUUCCAGCUCCAAUAGCGUAUAUUAAAGUUGUUGCAGUUAAAAAGCUCGUAGUUGAAUUUCGGGAUCAAUAUUUCGGUCAUGCCGUUGGUAUGCACUGUUAUCAUUGAUUUCUCACCUUCUAAAGAACCGUAAUGCCAUUAAUUUGGUGUUACGGGGAAUUAGGACUGUUACCUUGAAAAAAUUAGAGUGUUUAAAGCAGGCUCACGCUUGAAUACAUUAGUAUGGAAUAAUGAAAUAGGACAUCCGAUUCUAUUUUGUUGGUUUCUAGGAUCGAUGUAAUGAUUAAUAGGGAUAGUUGGGGGCAUUAGUAUUCAAUUGUCAGAGGUGAAAUUCUUGGAUUUAUUGAAGACUAACUACUGCGAAAGCAUUUGCCAAGGAUGUUUUCAUUAAUCAAGAACGAAAGUUAGGGGAUCGAAGACGAUCAGAUACCGUCGUAGUCUUAACCAUAAACUAUGCCGACUAGGGAUCGGAUGAUGUUAAUUUUUCAAUGACUCAUUCGGCGCCUUACGGGAAACCAAAGUGUUUGGGUUC
This 566-nucleotide ribosomal RNA is filed under the name uncultured Glomeromycotina. RNAcentral describes it as "SSU rRNA". It matches the Rfam family "Eukaryotic small subunit ribosomal RNA", at positions 548 to 1114 of the family's 1831-position model. Lineage: Eukaryota; Fungi; Glomeromycota. The record is from RNAcentral.